CACGGAGUUAGCCGGGGUUCUUUACCUGCUACAGUCAUUAUCUUCACAGGCGAAAGAGCUUUACGACCCUAAGGCCUUCAUCACUCACGCGGCAUGGCUGGAUCAGGCUUGCGCCCAUUGUCCAAGAUUCCCC
Molecule: ribosomal RNA, 133 nt
Filed under: uncultured bacterium
Lineage: Bacteria
Description: partial 16S ribosomal RNA
Source: RNAcentral